CCCCACUUUAUUCCAACCAUGCUGGCAGCUGAUUAGCUGGUGCCUACCCAGAUUGAGGAUGGGUCUGCAUCUUCCAGUUCACUGACUCAAAUGUUAAUCUCCUUUGGCAAUGUCCUCAUAGACAUAACCAGGAACAAUACU
Long non-coding RNA from Sapajus apella (tufted capuchin), 141 nucleotides. RefSeq lists it as uncharacterized. The record is from RefSeq and is a predicted model, not a curated record. The transcript is spliced from 3 exons. NCBI's taxonomy places the organism in Eukaryota, Metazoa, Chordata, Mammalia, Primates, Cebidae.